RNAcentral lists this ribosomal RNA (1439 nucleotides) under uncultured bacterium. RNAcentral's name for it is "bacterial SSU rRNA". It matches the Rfam family "Bacterial small subunit ribosomal RNA". The record is from RNAcentral.
AGAGUUUGAUCAUGGCUCAGAACGUACGCUGGCGGCACGCCUAAUACAUGCAAGUCGAACGAAGUAGCAAUACUUAGUGGCAGACGGGUGAGUAACAUGUAGGUAUCUUCCCAUUGGUGAGGAAUAACACGAGGAAACUUGUGCUAAUACCUCAUAAGUCUUUACGGAGAAAGCUUUAUGCGCCGAUGGAUGAGCCUGCACUUGAUUAGUUUGUUGGUAGGGUAAUGGCCUACCAAGACAAUGAUCAAUAGCUGAUUUGAGAGGAUGAUCAGCCACAUUGGGACUGAGACACGGCCCAAACUCCUACGGGAGGCAGCAGUAGGGAAUCUUGCACAAUGGGGGAAACCCUGAUGCAGCGAUGCCGCGUGAGUGAAGAAGGCCUUUGGGUUGUAAAGCUCUUUCGUCGGGGAAGAAAAUGACUGUACCCGAAUAAGAAGGUCCGGCUAACUUCGUGCCAGCAGCCGCGGUAAUACGAAGGGACCUAGCGUAGUUCGGAAUUACUGGGCUUAAAGAGUUCGUAGGUGGUUAAAAAAGUUGGUGGUGAAAUCCCAGAGCUUAACUCUGGAACUGCCAUCAAAACUUUUUAGCUAGAGUAUGAUAGAGGAAAGCAGAAUUUCUAGUGUAGAGGUGAAAUUCGUAGAUAUUAGAAAGAAUACCAAUUGCGAAGGCAGCUUUCUGGAUCAUUACUGACACUGAGGAACGAAAGCAUGGGUAGCGAAGAGGAUUAGAUACCCUCGUAGUCCAUGCCGUAAACGAUGUGUGUUAGACGUUGGAAAUUUAUUUUCUGUGUCGCAGCGAAAGCAAUAAACACACCGCCUGGGGAGUACGACCGCAAGGUUAAAACUCAAAUGAAUUGACGGGGACCCGCACAAGUAGUGGAGCAUGUGGUUUAAUUCGAAGAUACGCGCAGAACCUUACCAACACUUGACAUGUUCGUCGCGACUUUAAGAGAUUAAAGUUUUCGGUUCGGCCGGACGAAACACAGGUGCUGCAUGGCUGUCGUCAGCUCGUGUCGUGAGAUGUUGGGUUAAGUCCCGCAACGAGCGCAACCCUCACUUUUAGUUGCCAUCAUUUAGUUGGGCACUCUGAAAGAACUGCCAGUGAUAAGCUGGAGGAAGGUGGGGAUGACGUCAAGUCCUCAUGGCCCUUACGUGUUGGGCUACACACGUGCUACAAUGGCAUUUACAAUAGGAAGCAAGACGGCGACGUUAAGCAAAUCCUAAAAAAAUGCCUCAGUUCGGAUUGUACUCUGCAACUCGAGUACAUGAAGCUGGAAUUACUAGUAAUCGCGGAUCAGCGCGCCGCGGUGAAUACGUUCCCGGGUCUUGUACACACCGCCCGUCACACCAUGGGAGUUGGUUCUACCUUAAGGCAAAGUUUAAUACCUUUGACCACGGUAUAGUCAGCGACUGGGGUGAAGUCAUAACAAGGUAACCGUA